This 497-nucleotide ribosomal RNA is filed under the name uncultured bacterium. Its description in RNAcentral is "partial 16S ribosomal RNA". It matches the Rfam family "Bacterial small subunit ribosomal RNA", at positions 28 to 523 of the family's 1533-position model. The record is from RNAcentral.
GAUGAACGCUGGCGGCGUGCUUAACACAUGCAAGUCGAACGAAGCAUUUAGAACGGAUUACUUCGGUUUAAAGUUCUUUAUGACUGAGUGGCGGACGGGUGAGUAACGCGUGGGUAACCUGCCUUGUACUGGGGGAUAGCAGCUGGAAACGGCUGGUAAUACCGCAUAAGCGCACAAUGUUGCAUGACAUGGUGUGAAAAACUCCGGUGGUAUAAGUUGGACCCGCGUCUGAUUAGCUAGUUGGUGAGAUAACAGCCCACCAAGGCGACGAUCAGUAGCCGACCUGAGAGGGUGACCGGCCAGAGUGGGACUGAGACACGGCCCAGACUCCUACGGGAGGCAGCAGUGGGGAAUAUUGCACAAUGGAGGAAACACUGAUGCAGCGACGCCGCGUGAGUGAAGAAGUAAUUCGUUAUGUAAAGCUCUAUCAGCAGGGAAGAUAGUGACGGUACCUGACUAAGAAGCUCCGGCUAAAUACGUGCCAGCCGCCGCCGUAA